Molecule: transfer RNA, 67 nt
Filed under: Marmota monax (woodchuck)
Lineage: Eukaryota; Metazoa; Chordata; Mammalia; Rodentia; Sciuridae
Description: tRNA.Ala
Rfam family: tRNA (bases 4-60)
About the family: Transfer RNA (tRNA) molecules are approximately 80 nucleotides in length.
Source: RNAcentral
AUGUGGCUCAGUGGUAGAGCACUUGCCUGGCAUGCACAAGGCUCUGGGUUCAAUCCCCAGGACCAUA